GACGAACGCUGGCGGCGUGCUUAACACAUGCAAGUCGAACGGUAAGGCCCUUCGGGGUACACGAGUGGCGAACGGGUGAGUAACACGUGGGUGAUCUGCCCUGCACUUCGGGAUAAGCCUGGGAAACUGGGUCUAAUACCGGAUAGGACCCUGGGAUGCAUGUCCUGGGGUGGAAAGCUUUUGUGGUGUGGGAUGGGCCCGCGGCCUAUCAGCUUGUUGGUGGGGUGAUGGCCUACCAAGGCGACGACGGGUAGCCGGCCUGAGAGGGUGACCGGCCACGCUGGGACUGAGAUACGGCCCAGACUCCUACGGGAGGCAGCAGUGGGGAAUAUUGCACAAUGGGCGCAAGCCUGAUGCAGCGACGCCGCGUGAGGGAUGACGGCCUUCGGGUUGUGAACCUCUUUCAGCACCGACGAAGCGCAAGUGACGGUAGGUGCAGAAGAAGGACCGGCCAACUACGUGCCAGCCGCCGCGGUAA
This 478-nucleotide ribosomal RNA is filed under the name uncultured bacterium. RNAcentral's name for it is "partial 16S ribosomal RNA". It matches the Rfam family "Bacterial small subunit ribosomal RNA", at positions 28 to 523 of the family's 1533-position model. The record is from RNAcentral.